AGAGUUUGAUCCUGGCUCAGGACGAACGCUGGCGGCGCGCCUAACACAUGCAAGUCGAACGAGAGAUGAGGAGCUUGCUCUUCAAAUCGAGUGGCGAACGGGUGAGUAACGCGUGAGGAACCUGCCUCAAAGAGGGGGACAACAGUUGGAAACGACUGCUAAUACCGCAUAAGCCCACGGCUCGGCAUCGAGCAGGGGGAAAAGGAGCAAUCCGCUUUGAGAUGGCCUCGCGUCCGAUUAGCUAGUUGGUGAGGUAACGGCCCACCAAGGCGACGAUCGGUAGCCGGACUGAGAGGUUGAACGGCCACAUUGGGACUGAGACACGGCCCAGACUCCUACGGGAGGCAGCAGUGGGGAAUAUUGCACAAUGGGGGAAACCCUGAUGCAGCGACGCCGCGUGGAGGAAGAAGGUCUUCGGAUUGUAAACUCCUGUUGUUGAGGAAGAUAAUGACGGUACUCAACAAGGAAGUGACGGCUAACUACGUGCCAGCAGCCGCGGUAAAACGUAGGUCACAAGCGUUGUCCGGAAUUACUGGGUGUAAAGGGAGCGCAGGCGGGAGAACAAGUUGGAAGUGAAAUCCAUGGGCUCAACCCAUGAACUGCUUUCAAAACUGUUUUUCUUGAGUAGUGCAGAGGUAGGCGGAAUUCCCGGUGUAGCGGUGGAAUGCGUAGAUAUCGGGAGGAACACCAGUGGCGAAGGCGGCCUACUGGGCACCAACUGACGCUGAGGCUCGAAAGUGUGGGUAGCAAACAGGAUUAGAUACCCUGGUAGUCCACACCGUAAACGAUGAUUACUAGGUGUUGGAGGAUUGACCCCUUCAGUGCCGCAGUUAACACAAUAAGUAAUCCACCUGGGGAGUACGACCGCAAGGUUGAAA
This 878-nucleotide ribosomal RNA is filed under the name uncultured bacterium. Its description in RNAcentral is "bacterial SSU rRNA". It matches the Rfam family "Bacterial small subunit ribosomal RNA", at positions 8 to 899 of the family's 1533-position model. The record is from RNAcentral.